CCUACGGGUGGCAGCAGUGGGGAAUAUUGGGCAAUGGGCGCAAGCCUGACCCAGCAACGCCGCGUGAAGGAAGAAGGCUUUCGGGUUGUAAACUUCUAUCAACAGGGACGAAAGAAAGGACGGUACCUGAAUAAGAAGCCUCGGCUAACUACGUGCCAGCAGCCGCGGUAAUACGUAGGGGGCAAGCGUUAUCCGGAAUUACUGGGUGUAAAGGGUGAGUAGGCGGCAUGGUAAGCCAGAUGGGAAAGCCUUGGGCUUAACCCGAGGAUUGCAUUUGGAACUAUCAAGCUAGAGUACAGGAGAGGAAAGCGGAAUUCGUAGUGUAGCGGUGAAAUGCGUAGAUAUUAGGAAGAACACCAGUGGCGAAGGCGGCUUUCUGGACUGAAACUGACGCUGAGGCACGAAAGCGUGGGGAGCGAACAGGAUUAGAUACCCUAGUAGUC
RNAcentral lists this ribosomal RNA (443 nucleotides) under uncultured bacterium. RNAcentral's name for it is "partial 16S ribosomal RNA". It matches the Rfam family "Bacterial small subunit ribosomal RNA", at positions 338 to 795 of the family's 1533-position model. The record is from RNAcentral.